This 278-nucleotide ribosomal RNA is filed under the name uncultured bacterium. RNAcentral describes it as "partial 16S ribosomal RNA". It matches the Rfam family "Bacterial small subunit ribosomal RNA", at positions 82 to 354 of the family's 1533-position model. The record is from RNAcentral.
CCGUUGCCGGCGACCGGCGCACGGGUGAGUAACACGUAUGCAACCUGCCCGUGGCAGGGGGAGUAAGCGGGGGAAACCCCGUCUAAUACCGCGUAACGCGGCCUUGGGGCAUCCCCAAGGCCGCCAAAGGGAGCAAUCCCGGCCACGGAUGGGCAUGCGGCGCAUUAGCUAGUCGGCGGGGUAACGGCCCACCGAGGCGACGAUGCGUAGGGGUUCUGAGAGGAAGGCCCCCCACACUGGUACUGAGACACGGACCAGACUCCUACGGAAGGCAGCAG